Molecule: small RNA, 803 nt
Filed under: Pongo abelii (Sumatran orangutan)
Lineage: Eukaryota; Metazoa; Chordata; Mammalia; Primates; Hominidae
Description: processed transcript
Source: RNAcentral
GAUGUUUUGUUUUCAGGUUGCUUACACUGUCUUUCAGUAUUUAAAAAUGCUGCAGAAGCUAGGCCCAGAAAAAAGGUAAUAAACACUUCCUGGAAUGAGGCCAGGAGCCAGUCCUGGUAUAUUUGAGGCUUCAGGCUGCCGGUAGACAUGCUUUAGUCUUGCCUUGAUGGUUUUUCAGGCAUUUUCUGCUCUGUUUCCUUUAUUGGCUCCAUAUCCUUAUCCCUCUACAUGUGAGUGUACACUAAGGCUUUACACAUAUGUGGCCAGUCCCUUUAUUUUCAUGCUUCUCUUUUAUUGUUGAUGCUUCUAUUGAGAAUUUUUUAAACUUUUAUUCUAGGUUCAGGGGUAUAUGUGCAGGUUUGUUGUACAGAUUAUUUUGUCACCCAGGUACUAAGCCUACUACCCAAUAGUUAUCUUUUCUGAUCCUUUCCCUCCUCCCGCCCUUCUCCCUCAAGUAGGCAGAAAUUUUAAUGUAUCAAGUAGGCAGAAAUUUUAAUGUAUCUUCUAAUUAUAGUUUUCUCCUUCACAGAAUUUUUGAAGAGAUUCAGAAAAUUGAGGAUAAUGAAUUUCAUUACCAAGAACAGACAGAUCCAGUUGAGUAUGUGGAAAACAUGUGUGAGAACAUGCAGCUGUACCCAUUGCAAGACAUUCUCACUGGAGAUCAGCUUCUUUUUGAAUACAAGCCAGAAGUCAUUGGUGAAGCCUUGAAUCAGCUAGUUCCUCAAAAAGCAAAUCUUGUUUUACUGUCUGGUGCUAAUGAGGGAAAAUGUGACCUCAAGGAGAAAUGGUUUGGAACUCAGUAU